Benincasa hispida (wax gourd) is the source of this 566-nucleotide long non-coding RNA. RefSeq lists it as uncharacterized. The record is from RefSeq and is a predicted model, not a curated record. NCBI's taxonomy places the organism in Eukaryota, Viridiplantae, Streptophyta, Magnoliopsida, Cucurbitales, Cucurbitaceae.
UAAUUUAAAUAUUAAAUAAAAAAAGGAGGAAGUUAUCUGAUAACUUCUUUCCUCUCCCCGUCUCCCAUAAACCUACUCCCUUCUCCCAAAAUUAAUCAUUGCGAGCCUAGAACUCUGCAUCGAUUCCCUUCUUUGAGAAUAACAGCGAAGUCUUGUGGUGGUGUUCCCUUGAUUUUAUUGUGUUGCUUCGCUGGUGAGACCAGAAGGGAGACAGAACGUGAACGUUAGUGAGAUCGGGAGAGGAAACAUGAAGAACUUUUGUCUUCAAAGGAUAACAAUGGAGAUGUGGAGUUGUUAAAGAGGGGUUGAUGGAGAGUGGAUUUGCUCUAUUUCUUUGGAUCAAACGUGCACUCCUAAAGGCAAAAGAGAGGACGAAGAUCUGGAUUUGUUAAACCAUUCAAGAUCUUGAUUUGAUAGAUCCAUUUUAUUGUUCCAAGUUUGUUUGAUUAUUUGAUGUAAAACUCAUACUUUAGGAAGGUGGAUUUAUUGAAAUUGAAAUGAAAUGUAUAUAUUGGCUUAUGUGAAUGAAGUAUGAGUAUAAGUUCAUCAAUGUCUUUUUAUGGUAA